UUAGAGUUUGAUCCUGGCUCAGAUUGAACGCUGGCGGCAUGCCUUACACAUGCAAGUCGAACGGCAGCACGGGUGCUUGCACCUGGUGGCGAGUGGCGAACGGGUGAGUAAUACAUCGGAACAUGUCCUGUAGUGGGGGAUAGCCCGGCGAAAGCCGGAUUAAUACCGCAUACGAUCCACGGAUGAAAGCGGGGGACCUUCGGGCCUCGCGCUAUAGGGUUGGCCGAUGGCUGAUUAGCUAGUUGGUGGGGUAAAGGCCUACCAAGGCGACGAUCAGUAGCUGGUCUGAGAGGACGACCAGCCACACUGGGACUGAGACACGGCCCAGACUCCUACGGGAGGCAGCAGUGGGGAAUUUUGGACAAUGUGCGCGAACAGCUCUUGAUAUCCAGGCAAUGCCGGCGUGUGUGAAGAAGGCCUCCGGGUUGUAAAGGCACUUUGGUCCGGAAAGAAAUUCCUUGGCUCUAAUACAGUCCGGGGGAAUUGACCGUACCGGAAGAAUAAAGCCACCCCGGCCUAACCUACCGUUGCCAGCAGCCCGCCGGUUAAAUAACCGUUAGGGUGCAAGCGUUUAAUCGGGAAUUUACUGGGGCGGUAAAGCGGUGCGCAGGCGGUUUGCUAAGAACCGAUGUUGAAAUCCCCGGGCUUCAACCUGGGAAACUGCAUUGGUCGAACUGGCAGGCUAGAGUAUGGCAGAGGGGGGUAGAAUUCCACGUGUAGCAGUGAAAUGCGUAGAGAUGUGGAGGAAUACCGAUGGCGAAGGCAGCCCCCCUGGGCCCAAUACUGACGCUCAUGCACGAAAGCGUGGGGAGCAAACAGGAUUUAGAUACCCUGGUAGUCCACGCCCUAAACGAUGUCAACUAGUUGUUGGGGAUUCAUUUCCUUAGUAACGUAGCUAACGCGUGAAGUUGACCGCCUGGGGAGUACGGUCGCAAGAUUAAAACUCAAAGGAAUUGACGGGGACCCGCACAAGCGGUGGGAUGAUGUGGGAUUAAUUUCGAUGCAACGCGGAAAAACCCUUUACCUUACCCUUGACAUGGGUCGGAAUCCUGCUGAGGAGGUGGGAGUGCUCGAAAAGAGAAACGGCGCCACCAGGUGCUGCAAUGGCUGUCGUCAGCUCGUGUCAGUGAGAUGUUGGAUUAAGUCCCGCAACGAGCGCAACCCUUGUCCUUAGUUGCUACGCAAGAGCACUCUAAGAGAGACCUGCCCGUGUACACAAACGGAGGAAGGUGGGGAUGACGUCAAGUCCUCAUGGCCCUUAUGGGUAGGGCUUCACACGUCAUACAAUGGUCGGAACAGAGGGUUGCCAACCCGCGAGGGGGAGCUAAUCCCAGAAAACCGAUCGUAGUCCGGAUUGCACUCUGCAACUCGAGUGCAUGAAGCUGGAAUCGCUAGUAAUCGCGGAUCAGCAUGCCGCGGUGAAUACGUUCCCGGGUCUUGUACACACCGCCCGUCACACCAUGGGAGUGGGUUUUACCAGAAGUGGCUAGUCUAACCGCAAGGAGGACGGUCACCACGGUAGGGUUCAUGACUGGGGUUGAAGUCGUAACAAGGUAACCGUA
RNAcentral lists this ribosomal RNA (1562 nucleotides) under Burkholderia vietnamiensis. Its description in RNAcentral is "16S ribosomal RNA". It matches the Rfam family "Bacterial small subunit ribosomal RNA". The record is from RNAcentral. Lineage: Bacteria; Pseudomonadati; Pseudomonadota; Betaproteobacteria; Burkholderiales; Burkholderiaceae.